UUGUGACUUGUGAUUUAUCACUUUCCUUCUAAAGGGUCAUCUUUGGGACCAAACAACAUAGAUAUGGUAUGCUGACUUCUGUUUAAAUGUGUUUGCAUAUUGAAAUAAAUAUUGAUGUUAGAUUCCCUGAAAAAGUUGUCUUGUGUAGUAUCUUGUGUGGGGGAAUUGGGGAAAUCAAGUGUGUGGCCUUGUUUGGAAAUAUGGUAUGCACCUAAUUUCUUUGGAUUGGUAGAGAAUUGAGAACUGAAGUCCCUGCCAAACCAAAUGGAUUGGGUUCAAUCCACCUUCAAAACAUGUCCUGAAGAGGUAGGUAAGGUAGGUAACUAUGUGUGCAAUUUUGAAUGGCAUGUUGUUUUGCAGGAAGGCAUGGGCACAUGGCAUGCAGAGAUAUCAUGGCUAAUAUUUUCUAUAUGUAGGGAUUUUGUAGAGCCUCCUUGUAGGGGAUGAAAUAUCUGGUCAAAAUUUUGAGGAGAUUUGGAUUUCAAGUGGUAUUAAUAAAAAGCUAUUGGAUUUUGCUAUAUAUCUGAUGAGAGAGAUAAUUAAGGGCCUGUUCACUUUGAUGUCAUUUUAACCAUACCAUUUUUUGGCAAAGUUAUCAAAAAAAUGUCUAUGUUUAAUUUGUUGCUAAAUUUAGUCAAUACAUAAGAAAUCCUGCUAAAAUUUUAGCAAGAAUUUUGGCAAUAUUACCAUCUUGCCAAAAUUUUGGCAUUGCCAAAACUUGGUAAGGUUUAGUUUGACUACAAUCUGAACAUGCCCUAAAUUGAUGCGCUCCUUACUACAGCCAGCAACAAUUGACUAAAAGGUGGCAUAGAAAACAGACAGCAGAAUAAGUACUGAUCAAGUCACAUGAGUCACAAGCUCAUUGAAUAAACUUAUUCAGAAAAAGUUUCCUGGUCUGAAUAAACUUUUUUUCUGGAUGUACUUUGAAUACAUACAUGCUCAUGGAACUGAGUUGUGUUUAUGGCUUCAUCCCUUCCAGGUAUUCAUCCAAGCUUUAUAUGCGCCCUUGAUAUGCAAAUAUCCUUUUUUUUUCUGGAACAGUGAGAAUAUUCUAGCUGGUCUCUCUCUAGUCUCUAUUACUACUGAUAGCAAGUAGGAGAUAAGCUUUUGCUUCCUGAAAUGGCUGAAUUAUUGUUGUUGAAGAGCUAGAAGUGGAUAUGGUACAAAUCUUUCUGUGACUUUGCACUGUGGUGAGCUGCUGAACUUUUUUCCAAGUGGAGGGUGGAAAAAGCAAACUGGUGGGCCAAAAAAAACGACCUCCACUGCUGCUGGGUUGGGGUCAUUAGGAUCAGGAUUCAGAUGGUUGAUAUUUCACAAUUGUUGGGACUGAUACUUCGCAAUUAUUGAGUACGUUUAGGAAUUUGGAUGUCUAUCUGUUCCUACUAGUACCUCUGUAGCGUGUGAUCAUUGAUGUCAGGUCAACUUGAACAGUGUGUCAGUGUGGCAUUAAUUGUACCAGCAUCAGUGAAAUGGGCCAAUCAAGUACUAGGUGGUGAUGAUAAUUGAUAAUGUUGUGUU
RNAcentral lists this small RNA (1518 nucleotides) under Oryza sativa Japonica Group (Japanese rice). RNAcentral's name for it is "sRNA Os10g0364800". The record is from RNAcentral. Lineage: Eukaryota; Viridiplantae; Streptophyta; Magnoliopsida; Poales; Poaceae.